Molecule: long non-coding RNA, 947 nt
Organism: Chiloscyllium plagiosum (whitespotted bambooshark)
Lineage: Eukaryota; Metazoa; Chordata; Chondrichthyes; Orectolobiformes; Hemiscylliidae
Source: RefSeq, a predicted model, not a curated record
UUGUAUUGUCACAUGUACUCACAUGAGUACAGUGAGAAAUUUACAAAUCGCCACUUAUGCCAGCAACUUAAGUACACAGGUACCUAGGUACAGAUUCAUAAGUAUAAAUUCUUAGGGCAAAAAAUUAAGAAAAAUAAAGAAACAAAAGGUCCAGCAAUAAAUUAGAAAAAUAGAGAAAUAAGAGUUCAGAAUAACAGUCCUUUCAAUCGUUGGGCUUCACCUCAGGGCCUGGAGUUCGAGUCCAAGCUGAGGUCAGGAGUUCAAGUCCAUGUUGAGGCCAGGAGUUCGAGUCCACACUGAAGCCGGGAGUUCGAGUCCACACUGAGGCUGGGAGUCUGCUCUGGAGUUCACCCCAACAUGGCCAGUGUCACACAAGGAUGGGAGGUAAAAAGAAAAAGAAAAGAACAAUGUGAGAAGAGAGAAAAGAAAAGAAACUGAUGGAGUGGACGAGCUCUGGCUCAGAAUUCUACUCUGCUGCCAUCUUAGGCAUGUUUUCAGAUUGAUAUCCAUCCCAGUGCCAUGCUUUUUGCACAUUGUGUGCUGCGGAGAUACCAGAAUUUUUAUUUCUCACUUUUCAUUUGCAGGAUAGUUUUAAGAGGCAAUUCCUUCAGAUGCUGGCAGUUUUAGAAACCUACUCCAAUUGCUCACCAUUCUGGGCACUUUGUGGUCUUGAUACAACACUGACCUUUAAAUGAACAGACUGCACACUAUCAUGGAAAGUCAACUCGUUGCUUGUCAUGUCUCCAGCUUGGAGGAACAGCCUUACUGUAUAGAGUUACAUCCUGAAAGUGGCAAGGCCAAGUUCAACUCAAGCUUCUGAGAUAGCACAUGGGAAACAGCUCCAAAAACAGAUCAUCUGCUGGAAAACUGCCCCAGGAGUGGACUGAGUGCACAAAUCCAAUUAUCUCAUUACUGCUGGUCGAGAAUGGUGGUUGAGUAUGAAAUGA